GACUGUGUAGUGUGUGGACUGUGUAAUGUGUGUAAUGUGUAGUGUGUGGACUGUGUAAUGUGUGGACUGUGUAGCGUGUGGACUGUGUAAGGUGUGGACUGUGUAGCGUGUGGACUGUGUAGUGUGUGGACUGUGUAGCGUGUGGACUGUGUAAGGUGUGGACUGUGUAGCGUGUGGACUGUGUAGUGUGUGGAUUGUGUAAUGUGUGGACUGUGUAAUGUGUGGACUGUGUAGCGUGUGGACUGUGUAGCGUGUGGACUGUGUAGCGUGUGGACUGUGUAGUGUGUGUGUGUGUGCGAGAGUGAGAGAGAGAGUAGUGCUGUAUGUGCGUGCAUGUGGCACAUUGUGUGCGUGUGCAAUCAUGGCAUAGGGGAUUAUGUGUGUGUGUGUGUGUGUGUGUGUGUGUGUGUGUGUGUGUGUGUGUUUGUGUGUGUAUUAUUAAGAUUGACAGAGGGCUGUGUAUUAGGAGUUGGGUGGCAGAUUUCUCUAGCCCGUUUUAGACACACUAAUCUGG
Long non-coding RNA from Ictalurus punctatus (channel catfish), 514 nucleotides. NCBI's taxonomy places the organism in Eukaryota, Metazoa, Chordata, Actinopteri, Siluriformes, Ictaluridae. The record is from Ensembl.